RNAcentral lists this ribosomal RNA (351 nucleotides) under Anthomyza umbrosa. RNAcentral describes it as "partial 16S ribosomal RNA". The record is from RNAcentral. Lineage: Eukaryota; Metazoa; Arthropoda; Insecta; Diptera; Anthomyzidae.
CAUAAUCAUUAGUCUUUUAAUUGGAGGCUGGUAUGAAUGGUUGGAUGAGAUAUUAACUGUUUCAUUUAAAAUUUUUUUAGAACUUUAUUUUUUAGUUAAAAAGCUAAAAUAUUAUUAAAAGACGAGAAGACCCUAUAAAUCUUUAUAUUUUAUUUUUAUUAAUUAUUUAGAUAUUUUUAAUUAUUAAUAAUUAAAAUAUUUUAUUGGGGUGAUAUUAAAAUUUAAUAAACUUUUAAUUUUUAAAUACAUAAAUCUAUGAUUUUUUGAUCCAUUAUUAAUGAUUAAAAAUUUAAGUUACUUUAGGGAUAACAGCGUAAUUUUUUUGGAGAGUUCAUAUCGAUAAAAAAGAUU